Dermochelys coriacea (leatherback sea turtle) is the source of this 2505-nucleotide RNA transcript. It is a transcript of the gene named cilia and flagella associated protein 20, with no coding region annotated. NCBI's taxonomy places the organism in Eukaryota, Metazoa, Chordata, Testudines, Dermochelyidae. The transcript is spliced from 6 exons. The record is from RefSeq and is a predicted model, not a curated record.
UUCCUGUGCGGGGGCGGGGACCCGACAUCUGCCUGCGCGCGCGGGGAGCGGGUGGCCUGGGCUCGGCGGCGGCGCGGCGCGGAGGGAGCCGGGCCGGGAGACGCUUCCCCCUCCCCCUCCCCCGGCGGCGGGAUGUUCAAGAACACGUUCCAGAGCGGCUUCCUCUCCGUGCUCUACAGCAUCGGCAGCAAACCCCUGCAGAUCUGGGACAAGAAGGUGCGAAAUGGCCAUAUCAAAAGAAUCACCGACAACGAUAUCCAGUCACUGGUGCUGGAGAUUGAAGGAACAAAUGUCAGUACCACGUACAUCACCUGCCCUGCUGACCCAAAGAAGACAUUGGGCAUCAAACUGCCCUUCCUGGUGAUGAUCAUUAAGAACCUAAAGAAAUACUUCACCUUUGAAGUGCAGGUGUUGGAUGAUAAGAAUGUGCGCAGGCGCUUCCGGGCAAGUAACUACCAGAGCACGACCCGGGUGAAGCCCUUCAUCUGCACCAUGCCCAUGCGGCUGGAUGACGGCUGGAACCAGAUUCAGUUCAACCUGUCUGACUUCACACGCCGCGCAUAUGGCACGAACUACAUCGAGACCCUGAGGGUCCAGAUCCAUGCGAACUGUCGCAUCCGGAGGGUGUAUUUCUCUGACAGACUCUACUCUGAGGAUGAGCUUCCAGCUGAGUUCAAGCUGUACCUCCCUGUUCAGAACAAGGCCAAGGUGAGCUAGCCUGAUGAGGGAGAAGUGAGGAAGAAGCAGCUAGGACCAUCACAAAAAUCUCUCUCCUUUGUCUAGCAUUUCCUCCUCCUUUCUGAUGUUUUAGCAAUAAGAGGCUUCCACCUGAUAUUUGUAUCUGAAAAGCAUUUUCCCUUUGCUCACAGUAGGGAACAUGCCCUUGCCACUUAUGCUAAUCACUGGCUCCCGACUAUUAAAAUCACUAGCAAUAUCUCACGUUGUUUAUUGAUUGGCAGUCUUCCCCGGGAAGCAGAGCACUGAAGUAGAUGGAGACUCAGUUCCCUUCCCCACCCCUAGAAGGAGGCCUUCCAAAUUUGGUGAGGAAGGGAGUGUGCGAGAUGGUAGAUGAUAGAACAAGGAGUAAUGGUCUCAAGUUGCAGUGGGGAAGGUCUAGGUUGGAUAUCAGGAAACACUAUUUCACUAGGAGGGUGGUGAAGCACUGGAAUGGGUUGCCUAGGGAGGUGGUGGAAUCUCCUUCCUUAAAGGAUUCUAAGGUCAGGCUUGACAAAGCCCUGGUUGGGAUGAUUUAGUUGGGGUUGGCCCUGCUUUGAGCAGGGGGUUGGACUAGAUGCUUUCCUGAGGUCCCUUCCAACUCUGAUAUUCUAUGAUUUCCCUGCUGUUGUCUCAGUUCAUCCCGUUCUGGGGUUGAACCCCAGAAGCUGCCCCUCUCUUGCUGGUGAGAUGAUGACCUCAUCCAAGCAGAGGUGUUCGUCUCUGUUUCCUGCUUCCCUGGUCACUUACCUUGACUCCCAUAGAGUUCCACUCUGAUCCCUGUCCCUGCCCGACACUGGGAGCAUCAUUGCUGUGGGCGGGGACGAAGGAUGAGUAUUUUGCGUAGAGUAGGGAGAGGCACUGCAGUGUCCUUGGGGUGAAUGGGAGAAGAGCCCUCUGGAUCAUUCUUCAGUGAUCAGUUUAGUCUCAGGAUCAGUAUUGAGGGGCUUUAUAGAUAAAUGUCCAGCCCUCUUUAACCAGACACCCUCAUGAUGAAAGCGCUUCUGGGCUGGGUGGAAUAAGACAGACAGGAAGGAACUUGGAGAAACUGUUCAAGGGAAUGCAUCUUCUCUCCCCGCCCCAAGGAGACUAAUGUUUGUUUUGGGGUAGAUCAAGGGCUGGGUUAACAAUCAUAUGCUGCAAAGGUCAUGGCAAUAGCAUGUGGCCAGCAAUGAAGAUCGUUUAAGGCUGUCAAUGGAGCAUUCCCUUCUGUACAAUUACACGCAGCAUGGGGCAUGUUGGAAUAGCAGUGUCAGGUGCUAAUUGCUUAAUAAUCCUAUCCCCUUUGUGCCCCCUCAGCAAUAAACUGUACUGGAAAGAAACACGAGGAACGCGCCAUGGCUCGGUAUGAACAUGAAGGCAGGUGGAGCAGCAUGUCCUAAUGAAACACAAUUAGCUAAAUGCACUCUGCAUAUGGUAACUAUUGAAUAAUUUGGUAUCCCUUUCCUGGGCAGGACACAACUAACCAUGUAAUAAUACAGUACUGGAAUUGCAUUGUACGUCCAUAGGUAGCACAGAAUCAGAGUAUUUAUCUGGCUGUUCCUAAAAGCGGAGUCUAAACACUGCGAGUGACGCAGUACCUAAUCUUUGCCUUGUUUGGGGGAAUUACGAAGUAAAUGAGUAGUGUGUCUGAAGAGAGGAUCUGGUGUGGAAUUACAGGGUUAAGUGUGCCCUCUCAAAGACCAAUGUGUUUUUCCUUUCCUGGUUUUCCAUCUUUAUUUUAUAUGUGCUCUAAAUAUGGAUGUAAUACUCAUAUUUUGAAAGUUAUUAAACAUUUGAUUCUGUUUGUAA